ACGGGAUGGGCUACACACGUGCUACAAUGGCGCAUACAAAGGGCAGCAAGCCAGCGAUGGUUAGCGAAUCUCAUAAAGUGCGUCGUAGUCCGGAUUGGAGUCUGCAACUCGACUCCAUGAAGUCGGAAUCGCUAGUAAUCGUGGAUCAGAAUGCCACGGUGAAUACGUUCCCGGGCCUUGUACACACCGCCCGUCACACCAUGGGAGUGGGCUGCACCAGAAGUGGUUAGUUUAACCUUCGGGAGAACGAUCACCACGGUGUGGUUCAUGACUGGGGUGAAGUCGUAACAAGGUAGCCGUAGGGGAACCUGCGGCUGGAUCACCUCCUUAC
This 331-nucleotide ribosomal RNA is filed under the name Idiomarina loihiensis. RNAcentral's name for it is "bacterial SSU rRNA". It matches the Rfam family "Bacterial small subunit ribosomal RNA", at positions 1204 to 1533 of the family's 1533-position model. Lineage: Bacteria; Pseudomonadati; Pseudomonadota; Gammaproteobacteria; Alteromonadales; Idiomarinaceae. RNAcentral also lists the same sequence under 1 other name. The record is from RNAcentral.